UUCAGCAUACUUCCCUGACUGACGUUUACUGGUGCUAUAUUUCUGCUCAUUUUAUGAAUGAAUUCCAUGCAGAAAUACAACACUGUAUUCAUUCAUAAUUAUACCAAGUUGGCAACGCCACUAUUUUACUAUCGUUUUUACACAACACAUUCGCACAGAUGCAUGCACACACCAGCUGCAAAUUUUUUAUAUAUGGAGUUAAUUUUUUGACGUCCAUAACCAUACUGUCAAACUCCAUGUAAAAAAAAAUUGACAGUGUGUAGAUGCACACGCCUGUACAAAUUUGGCAUGCAUUUUUACAAAUCCUAUAAACAUCACACAAAGCACAUGCACAAGGACUGAAGACAACAUCAAAUUAAUAACAUUAAUAAUAAGUACAAAACCUACACUAAAUAAGAAAAAUUACAGUAAAAAAAAACAAUUUCAAACAAAAUUCUACACACAAACACAACAAUUGAGACUAAAUUACAAAACAAGCCCAAGAAAAGCUAAAUCGCCAACAAUAAGCAGAAGUGGCACAGGCCGGGUGUUGGAACUCAUUUUAACCCGCAACAAAACUCCGGGAUUACAAAGUGUACGAAUGGAGUGCCGGUGUGCGGGGUAGCCUCCUUUCCGCUAAUGAUCCGCAUACGCGCAGAUUCUAGAUCUGAUAAAUUAAUAAAUCUCGUAUGUUAUAUUGUAACGCCAAAUGCAAACGUGGGGAACUCCCACACCCUGAUGAGUCUCCAGCCGGGCAAUAUGGAAUACUGUUUCUGAUUGCUCUGUUUCCGGAUUACUUGACUCCGUAUACUGGUGUGACUUUUACAGAUGAAAUACUGGGGCAGUUAAUGGCAUGAAUUAUGAUUGAAGUUGUUGUCUUAAAAAAUUCGGACCCCAGAGGUAGUUCCUACAACCGGGAAAUAUUUCAAGAGUGAAAGUAGGCAGGGUUCCUUUACCAGUGUUUCCUGUUGAAUUCAAUGUAAUUACUUUUCUGUACACUGUUUAUUAUAACACAAGACAUUAAUAAAGAACUCACUUGUAAAUAUU
Lucilia sericata (common green bottle fly) is the source of this 1026-nucleotide long non-coding RNA. RefSeq lists it as uncharacterized. The record is from RefSeq and is a predicted model, not a curated record. The transcript has 4 exons. NCBI's taxonomy places the organism in Eukaryota, Metazoa, Arthropoda, Insecta, Diptera, Calliphoridae.